RNAcentral lists this long non-coding RNA (255 nucleotides) under Vigna radiata. Its description in RNAcentral is "long non-coding RNA (VRAD_LNC012175)". Lineage: Eukaryota; Viridiplantae; Streptophyta; Magnoliopsida; Fabales; Fabaceae. The record is from RNAcentral.
UAAAACUGAUAAAGGAACUAUUUUUGUGACCGAACACGCUUAUACGCUACUCUUAGUUUUAUUCCGCUGCGUUAUACUCUUCGAACCAUACUCCCCCUGGUACCAACAAUUGGUAUUAGAGCUUGCUUUGAUAGUUUUUCAAAAUAUUUGCGAAAAUGGCUGGUCACAACCAAAACCUUUGUAUAUGCCGAGGGUGCUUCUAUUAACAGACCACCACUUUUUACUGGUGAUAACUAUGCCUUUUGGAAAAUUAAA